Molecule: non-coding RNA, 108 nt
Organism: Oryza brachyantha (malo sina)
Lineage: Eukaryota; Viridiplantae; Streptophyta; Magnoliopsida; Poales; Poaceae
Source: Rfam
CUGCAUUAGUUGCAUCUUGCUGUAAAUAUGGGCAAACACUAAAGUUGAUGGGAAGUAAGUGAGUGUUCUUCAAGUCUAGAAUUCUCACAAAAGAACUGUCGCAUAGCA